RNAcentral lists this ribosomal RNA (253 nucleotides) under uncultured bacterium. RNAcentral's name for it is "partial 16S ribosomal RNA". It matches the Rfam family "Bacterial small subunit ribosomal RNA", at positions 524 to 776 of the family's 1533-position model. The record is from RNAcentral.
UACGAAGGGUGCUAGCGUUGUUCGGAAUUACUGGGCGUAAAGCGCGCGUAGGCGGCGAUCCAAGUCAGGGGUGAAAUCCCACAGCUCAACUGUGGAAUUGCCUUUGAAACUGUAUUGCUUGAGUGUCGGAGGGGAUAGCGGAAUUGCUAAUGUAGAGGUGAAAUGCGUAGAUAUGAGGAGGAACACCGGUGGCGAAGGCGGCUAUCUGGACGACAACUGACGCUGAGGCGCGAAAGCGUGGGGAGCAAACAGG